AGAAAGUACAUCUUGGACUACUUUUUUGAGGAGAAGCAGAACCUUCGCUUUGACUUGUAUGAUGUUGACUCCAAAAGCCCCGACUUGUCCAAACACGACUUUUUGGGUCAGAUGUUCUGUACUCUUGGCGAGAUUGUUGGAUCGCCAGCCAGUCGACUGGAGAAACCACUGGG
This is a non-coding RNA of Neolamprologus brichardi, 173 nucleotides long. NCBI's taxonomy places the organism in Eukaryota, Metazoa, Chordata, Actinopteri, Cichliformes, Cichlidae. The record is from RefSeq and is a predicted model, not a curated record.